This 573-nucleotide long non-coding RNA is filed under the name Sinocyclocheilus grahami. RNAcentral's name for it is "lncRNA (ENSSGRG00000008417.1)". The record is from RNAcentral. Lineage: Eukaryota; Metazoa; Chordata; Actinopteri; Cypriniformes; Cyprinidae.
GCAGCAGGCGGGUCUCUAUGGGGUGUGAUUUAUGCACUUACUUUGCUAACCUCUCAUGUGUUUACAGCCACUGCACUGCCGCUUUCCUGUGCGCUUCAUGGAAAACACACGGAAAAGUUAAGUUCCCGAUGACGGGGCGGGCAUCCAUGAACUAUGUCUAAGAAAGUAGAUUACUGUCACUGUAUUAAAAUUAUUAUUUAUGAUCAUGGCGGCGUCGCAGCGCGCGAGAAACUCUGAAGUCAAACAGAGCGAAACAUGGAAGCGUCACAUUAUCAGACAGCUGAAGUAUCGCAACAGGACCCAGACGAGCGUCUUCCAGGAGCUCGUAGAGUCAUAUCACAGUCUGCUGGAGAAGUCCAAGCAGAGAGCCCUCAUAACCAAAGGCAUUCUGGGAUCAGGGUCAAGGCCCUCCCUAUCUGAAGAUUCGCUGACAUCUCUAAAAACAACCACCGGUGAGGCUAUAUGAGGUCCAAAACCAUCUCAGUGUUUUGACAUCAGAGCACAGCGGGCUUCAGGAACACGUGGCAGAGGUACAGACUAGAAACCGACUUCUGAAACAAGAAUAUGAUUCUC